CAGGACGAACGCUGGCGGCGUGCCUAAUACAUGCAAGUCGAGCGGACAGAAGGGAGCUUGCUCCCGGAUGUUAGCGGCGGACGGGUGAGUAACACGUGGGUAACCUGCCUGUAAGACUGGGAUAACUCCGGGAAACCGGAGCUAAUACCGGAUAGUUCCUUGAACCGCAUGGUUCAAGGAUGAAAGACGGUUUCGGCUGUCACUUACAGAUGGACCCGCGGCGCAUUAGCUAGUUGGUGGGGUAAUGGCUCACCAAGGCGACGAUGCGUAGCCGACCUGAGAGGGUGAUCGGCCACACUGGGACUGAGACACGGCCCAGACUCCUACGGGAGGCAGCAGUAGGGAAUCUUCCGCAAUGGACGAAAGUCUGACGGAGCAACGCCGCGUGUAUGAAGAAGGUUUUCGGAUCGUAAAGUACUGUUGUUAGAGAAGAACAAGGAUAAGAGUAACUGCUUGUCCCUUGACGGUAUCUAACCAGAAAGCCACGGCUAACUACGUGCCAGCAG
Molecule: ribosomal RNA, 506 nt
Filed under: Listeria monocytogenes
Lineage: Bacteria; Bacillati; Bacillota; Bacilli; Caryophanales; Listeriaceae
Description: bacterial SSU rRNA
Rfam family: Bacterial small subunit ribosomal RNA
Source: RNAcentral